RNAcentral lists this ribosomal RNA (253 nucleotides) under uncultured bacterium. Its description in RNAcentral is "partial 16S ribosomal RNA". It matches the Rfam family "Bacterial small subunit ribosomal RNA", at positions 524 to 776 of the family's 1533-position model. The record is from RNAcentral.
UACGGAGGGUGCAAGCGUUGCUCGGAAUUAUUGGGCGUAAAGGGUAGGUAGGUGGUCUCAUUUGUCUGGGGUGAAAGCCUUGAGCUUAACUCAAGAAGUGCCCCAGAAACGGUGAGACUGGAGUCUUGGAGAGGGUCGUGGAAUUCCCGGUGUAGCGGUGAAAUGCGUAGAGAUCGGGAGGAACACCAGAGGCGAAGGCGGCGACCUGGACAAGGACUGACACUCAACUACGAAAGCGUGGGGAGCAAACAGG